Molecule: ribosomal RNA, 301 nt
Filed under: uncultured bacterium
Lineage: Bacteria
Description: bacterial SSU rRNA
Rfam family: Bacterial small subunit ribosomal RNA
Source: RNAcentral
GUGCCAGCAGCGGCGGUAAUACGGAGGGUGCAAGCGUUAAUCGGAAUUACUGGGCGUAAAGCGCACGCAGGCGGUCUGUCAAGUCGGAUGUGAAAUCCCCGGGCUCAACCCGGGAACUGCAUUCGAAACUGGCAGGCUGGAGUCUCGUAGAGGGGUAGAAUUCAGGUGUAGCGGUGAAAUGCGUAGAGAUCUGGAGGAAUACCGGUGGCGAAGGCGGCCCCCUGGACGAAGACUGACGCUCAGUGCGAAAGCGUGGGAGCAAACAGGAUUAGAUACCCUGGUAGUCCACGCCGUAAACGAU